UAGGGAAUCUUCCACAAUGGACGCAAGUCUGAUGGAGCAACGCCGCGUGAGUGAAGAAGGUUUUCGGAUCGUAAAGCUCUGUUGUUGGUGAAGAAGGAUAGAGGCAGUAACCGGUCUUUAUUUGACGGUAAUCAACCAGAAAGUCACGGCUAACUACGUGCCAGCAGCCGCGGUAAUACGUAGGUGGCAAGCGUUGUCCGGAUUUAUUGGGCGUAAAGCGAGCGCAGGCGGAAUGAUAAGUCUGAUGUGAAAGCCCACGGCUCAACCGUGGAACUGCAUCGGAAACUGUCAUUCUUGAGUGCAGAAGAGGAGAGUGGAACUCCAUGUGUAGCGGUGGAAUGCGUAGAUAUAUGGAAGAACACCAGUGGCGAAGGCGGCUCUCUGGUCUGCAACUGACGCUGAGGCUCGAAAAGCAUGGGUAGCGAACAGGAUUAGAUACCCUGGUAGUCCAUGCCGUAAAACGAUGAGCGCUAGGUGUUGGGGACUUUCCGGUCCUCAGUGCCGCAGCAAAACGCAUUAAGCGCUCCGCCUGGGGAGUACGACCGC
Molecule: ribosomal RNA, 546 nt
Filed under: uncultured bacterium
Lineage: Bacteria
Description: partial 16S ribosomal RNA
Rfam family: Bacterial small subunit ribosomal RNA
Source: RNAcentral